Molecule: long non-coding RNA, 662 nt
Organism: Uranotaenia lowii
Lineage: Eukaryota; Metazoa; Arthropoda; Insecta; Diptera; Culicidae
Exons: 3
Source: RefSeq, a predicted model, not a curated record
UGGAAGGCGUGACUGGCUGGCUCGACGAGGCGUUCCUGGCCAAUCUUAAGGCAGACCGGAUCAUCGGAACCACCAUCCGAAGGAAUCAACUUUACCGGAUAGAAAGCUAGCAAACCUUUGCCAAAUUCUGAUUAAUCCGUUGGAUUGCGAUCCGGUGCUAUCGAACGUCUCUGUUGGUAGCCAGGAAUAAAAAGUUCCGAGAGAAGGCAUCCCGGUCGAGUCGUUCGCUUCCGCAAAACCAGAACAAAAAAAGCGAACACCUUCCCGGUGGUAAGUUAACCUCAUUGUGCGCAUGCUUUCAUGCACUAAAUGCACUUCGUAUUGCAGUCAGCCACAAUUCACCACAGCGCAGAUUUGGCGAGGGAAGAACCUGACCGUGGAAAGGAAGAAACAGCCCCAAUAUUGGGGUUGUUUUUUGGCUUGGCGCAGUUCUCCCAAAGCUGCUGCUGUUGGUAGCCUCGGUGCCUGAAAUCGAGCCUAGCUACGAAGGAUCACCGCCUAGAAAGACAUUCGUCUUCAGCAACAAAACGCCACCAGGCUUCAGAGGUCCGGUUCCUGAUCACCUGGUUGGUAUCCUCGGGUGGUCAACAAAAAUAAACGAGGUCAAGUCGUAUGUCAGGAGAAAGUUCAAGUUCAUCAGUGCGGGGUUUGUGAAAUACCCC